Small nuclear RNA from Jaculus jaculus (lesser Egyptian jerboa), 105 nucleotides. The record is from Ensembl. NCBI's taxonomy places the organism in Eukaryota, Metazoa, Chordata, Mammalia, Rodentia, Dipodidae.
GUGCUUGCUUUGGCAGCACAUAUUCUAAAAUUGAAACGAUACAGAGAAGUAAUGUGUGGCCCAUGCAAGGAUGACACACAAGUUCGUGAAGUGUUCCUUUUUUUU